AGAAAAGUAAGCUAAAUAUAAGCUAAUGGGUUCAUACCCCAUCUAUAGGGUUAUUCCUCUUCUCUA
RNAcentral lists this transfer RNA (66 nucleotides) under Mastotermes darwiniensis (giant northern termite). RNAcentral describes it as "tRNA-Met". Lineage: Eukaryota; Metazoa; Arthropoda; Insecta; Blattodea; Mastotermitidae. The record is from RNAcentral.